UACGUAGGGGGCAAGCGUUGUCCGGAAUCAUUGGGCGUAAAGCGCGUGUAGGCGGCCUUGUAAGUCCGUUCUGAAAGCCUGGGGCUCAACCCCAGGAGGCGGAUGGAUACUGCAAGGCUCGAGUCCGGAAGAGGCAAGUGGAAUUCCCGGUGUAGCGGUGAAAUGCGCAGAUAUCGGGAGGAACACCAAUGGCGAAGGCAGCUUGCUGGGACGGUACUGACGCUGAGACGCGAAAGCGUGGGGAGCAAACAGG
Molecule: ribosomal RNA, 253 nt
Filed under: uncultured bacterium
Lineage: Bacteria
Description: partial 16S ribosomal RNA
Rfam family: Bacterial small subunit ribosomal RNA
Source: RNAcentral